CGGUAAUACGGAGGGUGCGAGCGUUGUCCGGAAUCACUGGGCGUGGGAGGCGCGUAGGCGGUCUGCUAAGCGUGUGGUGAAAGCUCGGGGCUCAACCCCGAGUCGGCCAUGCGAACUGGUGGACUAGAGCACUGUAGAGGCAGGUGGAAUUCCGGGUGUAGCGGUGGAAUGCGUAGAGAUCCGGAAGAACACCGGUGGCGAAGGCGGCCUGCUGGUCAGUAGCUGACGCUGAGGCGCGAUAGCGUGGGGAGCAAACAGGAUUAGAUACCCUGGUAGUCCACGCCGAUGACGAUGGGUACUAGGUGCUUGGGGAAGCGACCCCCCGAGUGCCGGCGCUAACGCAUUAAGUACCCCGCCUGGGGAGUACGACCGCAAGGUUGAA
RNAcentral lists this ribosomal RNA (382 nucleotides) under uncultured bacterium. RNAcentral's name for it is "bacterial SSU rRNA". It matches the Rfam family "Bacterial small subunit ribosomal RNA", at positions 518 to 898 of the family's 1533-position model. The record is from RNAcentral.